UUUAAAUCUGACAAAUGCUUCUACUUGGCGCUCAACCAGCAAACUGCAGAAAAUCAUGAAUGCAGCGUUUGGCUAGCAGAGCCAUUACUUAGUAAAGAGAAGUUCUGAAGCCUUGAUUUGGGUUUUCUGCUCGCUGCCAACUCUGCUGGAGCCUUUUCCAAAUCUGGUAAAACACAUAGAGAGCCAGAGCAAAUAUGAUGAGAGCCGAGGAACAACCAGACUAGUAAAAUACUCGAGACUAAAGAGUUGCGCUGCACCACCGCCAGGAUUGGACGACAGGAGGUGGGGUUGGCGCAGGAUUGGUCGGGCUGCCGAGGAAAACCAGGAUGACGUUGCCUCUGGGUCAGAGAGGGACAGAUCAGCGGGCCAUCCUCCAUGCCGUCCAGACCGACACAUAUCCAGCACAAUUUGUUUGUUGUAUAGCAGAACAAGAUACUGUAGUGAGCUGCUACUU
Amphiprion ocellaris (clown anemonefish) is the source of this 454-nucleotide long non-coding RNA. Lineage: Eukaryota; Metazoa; Chordata; Actinopteri; Pomacentridae. The record is from Ensembl.